AGCGAACGCUGGCGGCAGGCUUAACACAUGCAAGUCGAGCGGGCCCUUCGGGGUCAGCGGCAGACGGGUGAGGAACACGUGGGAACGUACCCUUUGGUUCGGAAUAACGCUGGGAAACUAGCGCUAAUACCGGAUACGCUCUUUUGGGGUAAGGCUUGCUGCCGCAGGAUCGGCCCGCGUCUGAUUAGCCAGUUGGUGGGGUAAUGGCCUACCAAGGCGUCGAUCAGUAGCUGGUCGGAGAGGAUGAUCAGCCACACUGGGACUGAGACACGGCCCAGAAUCCUACGGGAGGGAGCAGUGGGGAAUAUUGGACAAUGGGCGCAAGCCUGAUCCAGCCAUGCCGCGUGAGUGAUGAAGGCCUUAGGGUUGUAAAGCUCUUUUGUCCGGGACGAUAAUGACGGUACCGGAAGAAUAAGCCCCGGCUAACUUCGUG
This 433-nucleotide ribosomal RNA is filed under the name uncultured bacterium. Its description in RNAcentral is "partial 16S ribosomal RNA". It matches the Rfam family "Bacterial small subunit ribosomal RNA", at positions 29 to 507 of the family's 1533-position model. The record is from RNAcentral.